AUUGAACGCUGGCGGCAUGCUUUACACAUGCAAGUCGAACGGCAGCGCGGGCUUCGGCCUGGCGGCGAGUGGCGAACGGGUGAGUAAUGCAUCGGAACGUGCCCAGUAGUGGGGGAUAGCCCGGCGAAAGCCGGAUUAAUACCGCAUACGACCUGAGGGUGAAAGCGGGGGACCGAAAGGCCUCGCGCCAUUUGAGCGGCCGAUGUCGGAUUAGCUAGUUGGUGGGGUAAAGGCUUACCAAGGCGACGAUCCGUAGCUGGUCUGAGAGGAGGACCAGCCACACUGGGACUGAGACACGGCCCAGACUCCUACGGGAGGCAGCAGUGGGGAAUUUUGGACAAUGGGGGCAACCCUGAUCCAGCCAUGCCGCGUGCGGGAAGAAGGCCUUCGGGUUGUAAACCGCUUUUGUUCGGGAAGAAAUCCUCUGGGCUAAUACCCCGGGGGGAUGACGGUACCGGAAGAAUAAGCACCGGCUAACUACGUG
This 484-nucleotide ribosomal RNA is filed under the name uncultured bacterium. RNAcentral describes it as "partial 16S ribosomal RNA". It matches the Rfam family "Bacterial small subunit ribosomal RNA", at positions 28 to 507 of the family's 1533-position model. The record is from RNAcentral.